Molecule: ribosomal RNA, 253 nt
Filed under: uncultured bacterium
Lineage: Bacteria
Description: partial 16S ribosomal RNA
Rfam family: Bacterial small subunit ribosomal RNA
Source: RNAcentral
UCCGGAGGGUGCGAGCGUUGUCCGGAAUCACUGGGCGUAAAGGGCGCGUAGGCGGCGCGGGGAGUCAACGGUGAAAGCUCGGCGCUCAACGCCGAGUCGGCCGUCGAUACUCCCGUGCUCGAGCACUGUAGAGGCAGGUGGAAUUCCGGGUGUAGCGGUGGAAUGCGUAGAGAUCCGGAAGAACACCGGUGGCGAAGGCGGCCUGCUGGGCAGUAGCUGACGCUGAGGCGCGACAGCGUGGGGAGCAAACAGG